RNAcentral lists this ribosomal RNA (492 nucleotides) under uncultured bacterium. Its description in RNAcentral is "partial 16S ribosomal RNA". It matches the Rfam family "Bacterial small subunit ribosomal RNA", at positions 29 to 507 of the family's 1533-position model. The record is from RNAcentral.
AGUGAACGCUGGCGGUAGGCCUAACACAUGCAAGUCGAACGGCAGCACAGUAAGAUCUUGCUCUUACGGGUGGCGAGUGGCGGACGGGUGAGGAAUACAUCGGAAUCUACUUUUUCGUGGGGGAUAACGUAGGGGAACUUACGCUAAUACCGCAUACGACCUACGGGUGAAAGCAGGGGAUCUUCGGACCUUGCGCGAUUGAAUGAGCCGAUGUCGGAUUAGCUGGUUGGCGGGGUAAAGGCCCACCAAGGCGACGAUCCGUAGCUGGUCUGAGAGGAUGAUCAGCCACACUGGAACUGAGACACGGUCCAGACUCCUACGGGAGGCAGCAGUGGGGAAUAUUGGACAAUGGGCGCAAGCCUGAUCCAGCCAUACCGCGUGGGUGAAGAAGGCCUUCGGGUUGUAAAGCCCUUUUGUUGGGAAAGAAAAGCAGCAGGUUAAUACCCCGCUGUUCUGACGGUACCCAAAGAAUAAGCACCGGCUAACUUCGUG